This 91-nucleotide transfer RNA is filed under the name Symbiodinium microadriaticum. It matches the Rfam family "tRNA". From Rfam's summary of the family: Transfer RNA (tRNA) molecules are approximately 80 nucleotides in length. The record is from Rfam by way of RNAcentral. Lineage: Eukaryota; Dinophyceae; Suessiales; Symbiodiniaceae.
GACUCAGUAGCCUAAUGGACAAGGCGUUGCUCUCUCGAAGCCCUUGGCUUUGCAGACGCAAACUAUGGUGGCUCGAGUCCACCCUGAGUCG